GACCAACUGUCACAAAGUCUCAAUAUAAAGCAGUGGAGCUACACACACACACUUCCCAUAAGGUGACGGAAGGUCAGCAAGCGUUUACACUGCAGCCGCCCACAGACUCCUGUUGACUUCCAGUUAAUUUGGACUUCUGGAUUGAGUAUUGAGACACUAAGGCGACAAUGGGGAUGAAAGCUGUUGUUAUAUUCACGCUCUUGUUGCUGGCUGCACUGACUGCAGCACAAGAUUUGGACAGUCCUUGCCGAUCGUUUCAAGGCGUUUGCCAGCUGACAACCACUUCUGCAAUGGGCGCUACGUGAGUGGUCUGUGUGGAGGGACGUCCAACAGACGCUGCUGCAUUCCAAGAAUGAGUACAAGAUGCCCGACUUGUUAGGAGAAUUGAAGGCAGCUCCCAUGUGAUAGCUUGUCCGGCUGGCAGUAACUCCAGGAGAAGCUGGAUCCUGUCACUUCAAAGUCUUAUCUCGUGUCUGUACUCCCUCCAUUGCAUUUUAUGAGCAAUAAAGAGUAAGCAUAGUUA
Molecule: long non-coding RNA, 523 nt
Organism: Pomacea canaliculata
Lineage: Eukaryota; Metazoa; Mollusca; Gastropoda; Architaenioglossa; Ampullariidae
Exons: 4
Source: RefSeq, a predicted model, not a curated record